RNAcentral lists this ribosomal RNA (392 nucleotides) under uncultured bacterium. RNAcentral's name for it is "partial 16S ribosomal RNA". It matches the Rfam family "Bacterial small subunit ribosomal RNA", at positions 523 to 918 of the family's 1533-position model. The record is from RNAcentral.
AUACGGAGGAUCCGAGCGUUAUCCGGACUUAUUGGGUUUAAAGGGUGCGCAGGCGGCCAUUUAAGUCAGCGGUUAAAUCGUGGGGCUCAACCCCAUUCUGCCGUUGAUACUGGGUGGCUUGAUUGCGGUCGAGGUUGGCGGAAUUCGUUGUGUAGCGGUGAAAUGCAUAGAUAUGACGAAGAACACCGAUUGCGUAGGCAGCUGACCAGACCGCAAAUGACGCUCAUGCACGAAAGUGCGGGGAUCGAACAGGAUUAGAUACCCUGGUAGUCCGCACAGUAAACGAUGAAUACUUGUUUUCGGCGAUAUAAUGUCGGAGGCAAAGCGAAAGCGAUAAGUAUUCCACCUGGGGAGUACGCCGGCAACGGUGAAACUCAAAGGAAUUGACGGGG